UUACAGGCAGUGGGGAUGUGACAUCAUCAGUCACAUGAUUUCAAGAUGGAGGAACACAGGCUCUAAAACUGUAAAGUAGUCCUAUUUUUAAAAGAUGCACAGCUGAUAAAGGCCUGCGGAGGGCGCACCGCACACAAGUACGUCUGAGAUUAA
RNAcentral lists this long non-coding RNA (153 nucleotides) under Gouania willdenowi (blunt-snouted clingfish). RNAcentral describes it as "lncRNA (ENSGWIG00000018070.1)". Lineage: Eukaryota; Metazoa; Chordata; Actinopteri; Blenniiformes; Gobiesocidae. The record is from RNAcentral.